CAACAUACACCUUUGGUGAGACGCCGGCUCCGUAUGAACAGCUCAAUUUUUCUUUAAUAUCCUCUAGACCCGGUUUCUUGUACUCAUGCCUAAUUAAGGUGGUGAUGGCGAAGGUGAGGAUGGCGGCUUGAGAUCCGGAUACUGCACGCGGAUGAAAGAAUGAUGAGCGUGGCCUGAUGAAUCAAGUGCUUUUUUACAAAUGGCAAUGGAGUUUUAGAUGUGUACUUACAUUAGGGUAUGGUGACAGAGGUCUGGGGCGGGCAGGAGGUGCCGAGUUGACCGACGCCGGGGCUUCAGUGGCGGUGCUCUCAACCUUCACCUCGGCUUCAGCCUCCGCAGAGGGUGCUGAAGGGGGUGUUGGUGGUUUGAGAUCUGGGUACUGCACAGAAUGUCAAGCAGAAAAUGAUGAGCAUGGCAUGAGUUUUCAGGCUCACUUGUGCAAAAUGCAAUCAGGUAUCAGGUUUACACUCACAUUUGUAUAAGGUGAAAGAGGUGUGGGCGUUGCAGGAGCCGAUUCCGUGGUGGCUUCUGCUGCUGGUGCGGCAGCUGGAGUCCCUGUUUCUAGUGCUGGUUGGCUCUUAGGUUCACCAGGUAAAGGUAGUAGAGCCU
RNAcentral lists this long non-coding RNA (609 nucleotides) under Setaria viridis. Its description in RNAcentral is "long non-coding RNA (SVIR_LNC000017)". The record is from RNAcentral. Lineage: Eukaryota; Viridiplantae; Streptophyta; Magnoliopsida; Poales; Poaceae.